This 301-nucleotide ribosomal RNA is filed under the name uncultured bacterium. RNAcentral describes it as "partial 16S ribosomal RNA". It matches the Rfam family "Bacterial small subunit ribosomal RNA", at positions 509 to 807 of the family's 1533-position model. The record is from RNAcentral.
CAGCCGCCGCGGUAAUACAGAGGGUGCGAGCGUUAAUCGGAUUUACUGGGCGUAAAGCGUGCGUAGGCGGCUUCUUAAGUCGGAUGUGAAAUCCCUGAGCUUAACUUAGGAAUUGCAUUCGAUACUGGGAAGCUAGAGUAUGGGAGAGGAUGGUAGAAUUCCAGGUGUAGCGGUGAAAUGCGUAGAGAUCUGGAGGAAUACCGAUGGCGAAGGCAGCCAUAUGGCCUAAUACUGACGCUGAGGUACGAAAGCAUGGGGAGCAAACAGGAUUAGAUACCCCAGUAGUCCCUGUCUCUUAUAC